This 434-nucleotide ribosomal RNA is filed under the name uncultured bacterium. RNAcentral's name for it is "bacterial SSU rRNA". It matches the Rfam family "Bacterial small subunit ribosomal RNA", at positions 954 to 1392 of the family's 1533-position model. The record is from RNAcentral.
UGGGAACGCGAAGAACCUUACCUAGACUUGACAUCCCCUGAAUUACUCGUAACUGAGGAAGCCCUUCGGGGCAGGGAGACAGGUGGUGCAUGGUUGUCGUCAACUCGUGUCGUGAGAUGUUGGGUUAAGUCCUGCAACGAGCGCAACCCUUAUCAUUAAUUGCUACCAUUAAGUUGAGCACUCUAAUGAGACCGCCCGGGUUAACCGGGAGGAAGGUGGGGAUGACGUCAAAUCAUCAUGCCCCUUAUGUCUAGGGCUACACACGUGCUACAAUGGUGAGUACAGAAAGAUGCAAUCCCGUGAGGGGGAGCAAAACUCAAAAACUCAUCCCAGUUCGGAUUGUAGGCUGAAACUCGCCUACAUGAAGCCGGAGUUGCUAGUAAUCGCGAAUCAGCAUGUCGCGGUGAAUACGUUCCCGGGUCUUGUACACACCG